Molecule: ribosomal RNA, 286 nt
Filed under: uncultured bacterium
Lineage: Bacteria
Description: partial 16S ribosomal RNA
Rfam family: Bacterial small subunit ribosomal RNA
Source: RNAcentral
GUCUAUGCUGUAAACGAUGAAUGUUGGAUGUUGGUUUAAUUUAUCGGUGUCUAAGCUAACGCGUUAAAUAUUCCGCCUGAGUAGUACGAUCGCAAGAUUGAAAUUCAAAGAAAUUGACGGAGUCUCGUACAAGCGGUGGAGCAUGUGGUUUAAUCUGAUACAACGCGUAGAACCUUACCAAUUCUUGAGUAUAAUUUAGAGAAAAUUUGUUAUAAAUUUUUCCAAAUAUUUAGUUUAAUAUUUGUGUAUAUAUUAUUAAAUUAUACACGUUUUGCAUGGUUGUCGU